GCCUGCGGCCAUACCACCCUGAAUACGCCCGAUCUUGUCUGAUCUCGGAAGCUAAGCAGGGUCGGGCCUGGUUAGUACUUGGAUGGAAGACUGCCUGGGAAUACCAGGUGUUGUAGGCU
This 119-nucleotide ribosomal RNA is filed under the name Pelobates cultripes (western spadefoot toad). The record is from RNAcentral. Lineage: Eukaryota; Metazoa; Chordata; Amphibia; Anura; Pelobatidae.